This 371-nucleotide ribosomal RNA is filed under the name Staphylococcus aureus. RNAcentral describes it as "partial 23S ribosomal RNA". It matches the Rfam family "Bacterial large subunit ribosomal RNA", at positions 58 to 422 of the family's 2925-position model. The record is from RNAcentral. Lineage: Bacteria; Bacillati; Bacillota; Bacilli; Caryophanales; Staphylococcaceae.
GUUACUAACGACGAUAUGCUUUGGGGAGCUGUAAGUAAGCUUUGAUCCAGAGAUUUCCGAAUGGGGAAACCCAGCAUGAGUUAUGUCAUGUUAUCGAUAUGUGAAUACAUAGCAUAUCAGAAGGCACACCCGGAGAACUGAAACAUCUUAGUACCCGGAGGAAGAGAAAGAAAAUUCGAUUCCCUUAGUAGCGGCGAGCGAAACGGGAAGAGCCCAAACCAACAAGCUUGCUUGUUGGGGUUGUAGGACACUCUAUACGGAGUUACAAAGGACGACAUUAGACGAAUCAUCUGGAAAGAUGAAUCAAAGAAGGUAAUAAUCCUGUAGUCGAAAAUGUUGUCUCUCUUGAGUGGAUCCUGAGUACGACGGAG